UACGUAGGGUGCGAGCGUUGUCCGGAAUUAUUGGGCGUAAAGAGCUCGUAGGCGGUCCGUCGCGUCGAAUGUGAAAACCCGGGGCUCAACCCCGGGCCUGCAUUCGAUACGGGCGGACUAGAGUUCGGUAGGGGAGACUGGAAUUCCUGGUGUAGCGGUGAAAUGCGCAGAUAUCAGGAGGAACACCGGUGGCGAAGGCGGGUCUCUGGGCCGUAACUGACGCUGAGGAGCGAAAGCAUGGGGAGCGAACAGG
RNAcentral lists this ribosomal RNA (253 nucleotides) under uncultured bacterium. RNAcentral's name for it is "partial 16S ribosomal RNA". It matches the Rfam family "Bacterial small subunit ribosomal RNA", at positions 524 to 776 of the family's 1533-position model. The record is from RNAcentral.